Long non-coding RNA from Stylophora pistillata, 551 nucleotides. The record is from RefSeq and is a predicted model, not a curated record. Lineage: Eukaryota; Metazoa; Cnidaria; Anthozoa; Scleractinia; Pocilloporidae.
UUUUUCUAAAGAUUGUGGAUUUGAUUUCAUCAAGGACGCAUGAACUGUCCGCACAACAAGUCAAGCAGCUGGUUGAAGACGCGGUCUACCGACAUCUAAGUUGGAUAGUUUUCUGGGGGAGUGUGUUGGGAGCUUUUGUUGGCUGUGCGGCCGAGCUUGCCUCUGUUUACAUUAACGGCACGUGACUUGUCAAAUGGCUUGGAAAUAAUGCGUUAGGUCACUACGUGGCUAACUUUUAAAUGAAAGCCGGAUGAUCGCUAUGAAAGAUGAACCCUCUGAGCCACAGUGUUUGUCAGGGAACGAUUUGGCCAGUUUAGCCGGUUACUAAGAGUGCUACAAUGGCAUGUACACAUCGACGCCCCAUUGAUUUCCACAGCAAAGUAAACACGCUAUUGUCCUAAAUUGGCCUUAUCUAGGCUCAUGAUGACAAAAUGUAAACAUUUGUAUUUAAUUACAGAAAAUUAAAAAAACGUUAAUAUGUGAAGGAAUCAGAGUUCCAUAAAGAACAAAGAAAAAGUUAGGAAUUAAAGCUUAUAAAUCAUUUUCAACAA